AUUAUUUUCAUUUUUAUACAAAAUGGUCAUUAAUCAAUAUAUACAAUGUUGACGAAUUAAAAUUAUGAUAUCUACCUUUGUCAAAAGCUUUCCAAUAAUUGAGUUAAUUAUGCUGACAAAGAAAAUGGUGCAAUUUGGCUGAGGAUCAUGUUAAGUAAAAAAUUAGUUACUUAAAUAAGAAGAUUUUCUAGUUUUGAUAGACAAAUAAAAUUUUUCACAUUAUGCCUAUUAGUUGAUCUCAGAAGAUGCAUCAUGUUAAUUUUGGUGAAUUUUUAUUCUUUUGAAUUGUUAUAAUAUUCAUAAAUUGGAAAAAUCUAGACUUUAUAUCCAAAAGGGAUUGAAAUAAAUUUUUUAGAACAAAUGUUAAAUCUUGCUUAAAUCUUAUCUACUCGAAUCGUAAUCAGUAUUUAGGUAUUUGAGAUCCUACCUAAAAUAUAGUUCGACAGUCUUUUCUAAAGGGCGAGUUUAGUCCUAUAGUGUGAAGUUCAAAUAUUUCAUAAAUAGAUAUGAGUUUUAUUAUUUUGAC
Molecule: long non-coding RNA, 526 nt
Filed under: Olea europaea subsp. europaea
Lineage: Eukaryota; Viridiplantae; Streptophyta; Magnoliopsida; Lamiales; Oleaceae
Source: RNAcentral